AUGGGAGAGUUUGAUCCUGGCUCAGGACGAACGCUGGCGGCGUGCCUAAUACAUGCAAGUAGAACGCUGAAGAGAGGAGCUUGCUCUUCUUGGAUGAGUUGCGAACGGGUGAGUAACGCGUAGGUAACCUGCCUUGUAGCGGGGGAUAACUAUUGGAAACGAUAGCUAAUACCGCAUAACAAUGGAUGACACAUGUCAUUUAUUUGAAAGGGGCAAUUGCUCCACUACAAGAUGGACCUGCGUUGUAUUAGCUAGUAGGUGAGGUAAUGGCUCACCUAGGCGACGAUACAUAGCCGACCUGAGAGGGUGAUCGGCCACACUGGGACUGAGACACGGCCCAGACUCCUACGGGAGGCAGCAGUAGGGAAUCUUCGGCAAUGGGGGCAACCCUGACCGAGCAACGCCGCGUGAGUGAAGAAGGUUUUCGGAUCGUAAAGCUCUGUUGUAAGUCAAGAACGGGUGUGAGAGUGGAAAGUUCACACUGUGACGGUAGCUUACCAGAAAGGGACGGCUAACUACGUGCCAGCAGCCGCGGUAAUACGUAGGUCCCGAGCGUUGUCCGGAUUUAUUGGGCGUAAAGCGAGCGCAGGCGGUUUGAUAAGUCUGAAGUUAAAGGCUGUGGCUCAACCAUAGUUCGCUUUGGAAACUGUCAAACUUGAGUGCAGAAGGGGAGAGUGGAAUUCCAUGUGUAGCGGUGAAAUGCGUAGAUAUAUGGAGGAACACCGGUGGCGAAAGCGGCUCUCUGGUCUGUAACUGACGCUGAGGCUCGAAAGCGUGGGGAGCGAACAGGAUUAGAUACCCUGGUAGUCCACGCCGUAAACGAUGAGUGCUAGGUGUUGGAUCCUUUCCGGGAUUCAGUGCCGCAGCUAACGCAUUAAGCACUCCGCCUGGGGAGUACGACCGCAAGGUUGAAACUCAAAGGAAUUGACGGGGGCCCGCACAAGCGGUGGAGCAUGUGGUUUAAUUCGAAGCAACGCGAAGAACCUUACCAGGUCUUGACAUCCCGAUGCUAUUUCUAGAGAUAGAAAGUUACUUCGGUACAUCGGUGACAGGUGGUGCAUGGUUGUCGUCAGCUCGUGUCGUGAGAUGUUGGGUUAAGUCCCGCAACGAGCGCAACCCCUAUUGUUAGUUGCCAUCAUUCAGUUGGGCACUCUAGCGAGACUGCCGGUAAUAAACCGGAGGAAGGUGGGGAUGACGUCAAAUCAUCAUGCCCCUUAUGACCUGGGCUACACACGUGCUACAAUGGUUGGUACAACGAGUUGCGAGUCGGUGACGGCGAGCUAAUCUCUUAAAGCCAAUCUCAGUUCGGAUUGUAGGCUGCAACUCGCCUACAUGAAGUCGGAAUCGCUAGUAAUCGCGGAUCAGCACGCCGCGGUGAAUACGUUCCCGGGCCUUGUACACACCGCCCGUCACACCACGAGAGUUUGUAACACCCGAAGU
This 1440-nucleotide ribosomal RNA is filed under the name Streptococcus thermophilus. Its description in RNAcentral is "bacterial SSU rRNA". It matches the Rfam family "Bacterial small subunit ribosomal RNA". The record is from RNAcentral. Lineage: Bacteria; Bacillati; Bacillota; Bacilli; Lactobacillales; Streptococcaceae.